GAUGAACGCUGGCGGCGUGCCUAAUACAUGCAAGUCGAGCGAACGGACGAGAAGCUUGCUUCUCUGAUGUUAGCGGCGGACGGGUGAGUAACACGUGGAUAACCUACCUAUAAGACUGGGAUAACUUCGGGAAACCGGAGCUAAUACCGGAUAAUAUUUUGAACCGCAUGGUUCAAAAGUGAAAGACGGUCUUGCUGUCACUUAUAGAUGGAUCCGCGCUGCAUUAGCUAGUUGGUAAGGUAACGGCUUACCAAGGCAACGAUGCAUAGCCUACCUGAGAGGGUGAUCGGCCACACUGGAACUGAGACACGGUCCAGUCUCCUACGGGAGGCAGCAGUAGGGAAUCUUCCGCAAUGGGCGAAAGCCUGACGGAGCAACGCCGCGUGAGUGAUGAAGGUCUUCGGAUCGUAAAACUCUGUUAUUAGGGAAGAACAUAUGUGUAAGUAACUGUGCACAUCUUGACGGUACCUAAUCAGAAAGCCACGGCUAACUACGUG
RNAcentral lists this ribosomal RNA (497 nucleotides) under uncultured bacterium. Its description in RNAcentral is "partial 16S ribosomal RNA". It matches the Rfam family "Bacterial small subunit ribosomal RNA", at positions 28 to 507 of the family's 1533-position model. The record is from RNAcentral.